RNAcentral lists this ribosomal RNA (253 nucleotides) under uncultured bacterium. RNAcentral's name for it is "partial 16S ribosomal RNA". It matches the Rfam family "Bacterial small subunit ribosomal RNA", at positions 524 to 776 of the family's 1533-position model. The record is from RNAcentral.
UACGUAGGAUGCGAGCGUUAAUCGGAAUUACUGGGCGUAAAGCGUGCGCAGGCGGUGAUGUAAGACAGAUGUGAAAUCCCCGGGCUUAACCUGGGAACUGCAUUUGUGACUGCAUCGCUGGAGUGCGGCAGAGGGGGAUGGAAUUCCGCGUGUAGCAGUGAAAUGCGUAGAUAUGCGGAGGAACACCGAUGGCGAAGGCAAUCCCCUGGGCCUGCACUGACGCUCAUGCACGAAAGCGUGGGGAGCAAACAGG